RNAcentral lists this ribosomal RNA (284 nucleotides) under uncultured bacterium. Its description in RNAcentral is "partial 16S ribosomal RNA". It matches the Rfam family "Bacterial small subunit ribosomal RNA", at positions 334 to 634 of the family's 1533-position model. The record is from RNAcentral.
ACAACCUACGGGACGCAGCAGUGGGGGAUAUUGCACAAUGGGGGAAACCCUGAUGCAGCGACCCCGCGUGGGUGAAGAAGCGCUUCGGCGUGUAAAGCCCUUUCAGUGGGGAAGAAAAAGGACGGUACCCAAAGAAGAAGCACCGGCUAAAUACGUGCCAGCAGCCGCGGUAAUACGUAUGGUGCAAGCGUUAUCCGGAAUGACUGGGUGUAAAGGGAGCGUAGACGGUUGUACAAUUCUGAUGUGAAAGCCCACGGCUCAACUGUGGGAGUGCAUUGGUAACU